Molecule: long non-coding RNA, 477 nt
Filed under: Zalophus californianus (California sea lion)
Lineage: Eukaryota; Metazoa; Chordata; Mammalia; Carnivora; Otariidae
Description: lncRNA (ENSZCAG00015001080.1)
Source: RNAcentral
UGUGAAGUGGGCUUAAAGGUGGGAGUGGAAACACAGCCUCCUCAUCACAUUCCCCACCCUCAUCUUCUAGCAGUGAGGGUAAGCCAUCAAAUUUCUCAUGGCACCAAGGAUUCAAGCAAUGGGGUAAUGGAGAUCCUGGACAUUUAUUUUCUCACCAGUGAAAAUUAAUGAAGACCCAGGAGUUACUACAGCAUUAGUGAUGAGAAGGAAGUUUUAGCAGCUAGGGUGUGUUGAAACACAGCACUUUCCUCCUGUCAAGAAAUAACUCCACCAACAUAUAUGACUCCAAAAAGCCAUCUGGAUUUGCCUCUAGCAGUGUUGCAAGCUUGCUAAUGAGGACAACUUUUAACAGAAACCAUACUAGAAACAAUUUUUCUCCAAAGAUGAUUGUUUAGAUACUCAAAGAGUUUGCUUUUCCACCAAGAUUACUUGGUAGAACUCCCACCUAAGUUUCCAGCCUUCGGACUUGCAUUUCCC